RNAcentral lists this ribosomal RNA (249 nucleotides) under uncultured bacterium. RNAcentral's name for it is "partial 16S ribosomal RNA". It matches the Rfam family "Bacterial small subunit ribosomal RNA", at positions 57 to 305 of the family's 1533-position model. The record is from RNAcentral.
GCAAGUCGAGGGGUAACAGGAGUGCUUGCACUCGCUGACACCGGCGCACGGGUGAGUAACGCGUAUAGACGUUACCUUUUACAGAGGGAUCGCCUUUAGAAAUGAAGUUUAAUACCUCAUAGUAUUGAGACUUGCAUCGAGUUUCACUUAAAGAUUUAUCGGUAAAAGAUGGCUAUGCGUCCUAUUAGUUAGUUGGUAAGGUAACGGCUUACCAAGGCAGCGAUAGGUAGGGGUCCUGAGAGGGAGAUC